This 468-nucleotide ribosomal RNA is filed under the name uncultured bacterium. RNAcentral describes it as "partial 16S ribosomal RNA". It matches the Rfam family "Bacterial small subunit ribosomal RNA", at positions 28 to 507 of the family's 1533-position model. The record is from RNAcentral.
GACGAACGCUGGCGGCGUGCUUAACACAUGCAAGUCGAACGGAAAGGCCCUGCUUUUGUGGGGUGCUCGAGUGGCGAACGGGUGAGUAACACGUGAGUAACCUGCCCUUGACUUGGGGAUAACUUCAGGAAACUGGGGCUAAUACCGGAUAGGAGCUCCUGCUGCAGGGUGGGGGUUGGAAAGUUUCGGCGGUUGGGGAUGGACUCGCGGCUUAUCAGCUUGUUGGUGGGGUAGUGGCUUACCAAGGCUUUGACGGGUAGCCGGCCUGGGAGGGUGACCGGCCACAUUGGGACUGAGAUACAGCCCAGACUCCUACGGGAGGCAGCAGUGGGGAAUAUUGCACAAUGGGCGGAAGCCUGAUGCAGCAACGCCGCGUGCGGGAUGACGGCCUUCGGGUUGUAAACCGCUUUCGCCUGUGACGAAGCGUGAGUGACGGUAAUGGGUAAAGAAGCACCGGCUAACUACGUG